CCCGUCACACCAUGGGAGUUGGUCUUACCCGACGGCGCUGCGCCAACCUGCCAGGGAAACUUGGUUGGAGGCAGGCGACCACGGUAGGGUCAGCGACUGGGGUG
RNAcentral lists this ribosomal RNA (104 nucleotides) under uncultured bacterium. Its description in RNAcentral is "partial 16S ribosomal RNA". The record is from RNAcentral.